CGAUGUAGCAAUACAUUGGUGGCGACCGGCGCACGGGUGAGUAACGCGUAUGCAACCUACCUAUCAGAGGGGAAUAACCCGGCGAAAGUCGGACUAAUACCGCAUAAAACAGGGGUUCCACAUGGAAAUAUUUGUUAAAGAAUUAUCGCUGAUAGAUGGGCAUGCGUUCCAUUAGAUAGUUGGUGAGGUAACGGCUCACCAAGUCCACGAUGGAUAGGGGUUCUGAGAGGAAGGUCCCCCACACUGGUACUGAGACACGGACCAGACUCCUACGGGAGGCAGCAGUGAGGAAUAUUGGUCAAUGGGCGAGAGCCUGAACCAGCCAAGUCGCGUGAAGGAUGAAGGAUCUAUGGUUUGUAAACUUCUUUUAUAUGGGAAUAAAGUGAGGAACGUGUUCCUUUUUGUAUGUACCAUAUGAAUAAGCAUCGGCUAACUCCGUGCCAGCAGCCGCGGUAAUACGGAGGAUGCGAGCGUUAUCCGGAUUUAUUGGGUUUAAAGGGUGCGUAGGUGGUUAAUUAAGUCAGCGGUGAAAGUUUGUGGCUCAACCAUAAAAUUGCCGUUGAAACUGGUUGACUUGAGUAUAUUUGAGGUAGGCGGAAUGCGUGGUGUAGCGGUGAAAUGCAUAGAUAUCACGCAGAACUCCGAUUGCGAAGGCAGCUUACUAAACUAUAACUGACACUGAAGCACGAAAGCGUGGGGAUCAAACAGGAUUAGAUACCCUGGUAGUCCACGCAGUAAACGAUGAUUACUAGCUGUUUGCGAUACACAGUAAGCGGCACAGCGAAAGCGUUAAGUAAUCCACCUGGGGAGUACGCCGGCAACGGUGAAACUCAAAGGAAUUGACGGGGGCCCGCACAAGCGGAG
This 864-nucleotide ribosomal RNA is filed under the name uncultured bacterium. Its description in RNAcentral is "bacterial SSU rRNA". It matches the Rfam family "Bacterial small subunit ribosomal RNA", at positions 72 to 934 of the family's 1533-position model. The record is from RNAcentral.